GGUUACUGCUAUCGGUGUUCGCCUAAGCCAUGCGAGUCAUAUGUUCGUAAGAACAUGGCGUACUGCUCAGUAACACGUGGAUAACCUGCCCUUGGGUCCGGCAUAACCCCGGGAAACUGGGGAUAAUUCCGGAUAACGCACAUAUGCUGGAAUGCUUUAUGCGUAAAAUGGAUUCGUCUGCCCAAGGAUGGGUCUGCGGCCUAUCAGGUAGUAGUGGGUGUAAUGUACCUACUAGCCUACGACGGGUACGGGUUGUGAGAGCAAGAGCCCGGGAUGGAUUCUGAGACAUGAAUCCAGGCCCUACGGGGCGCAGCAGGCGCGAAAACUUUACAAUGCGGGAAACCGUGAUAAGGGGACACCGAGUGCCAGCAUCCUAUGCUGGCUGUCCGGGUGUGUAAAAUACACCUGUUAGCAAGGGCCGGGCAAGACCGGUGCCAGCCGCCGCGGUAACACCGGCGGCCCGAGUGGUGAUCGUGAUUAUUGGGUCUAAAGGGUCCGUAGCCGGUUUGGUCAGUCCUCCGGGAAAUCUGACAGCUCAACUGUUAGGCUUUCGGAGGAUACUGCCAGACUUGGAACCGGGAGAGGUAAGAGGUACUACAGGGGUAGGAGUGAAAUCUUGUAAUCCCUGUGGGACCACCUGUGGCGAAGGCGUCUUACCAGAACGGGUUCGACGGUGAGGGACGAAAGCUGGGGGCACGAACCGGAUUAGAUACCCGGGUAGUCCCAGCCGUAAACGAUGCUCGCUAGGUGUCAUGCAUGGCGCGACCGUGUCUGGUGCCGCAGGUAAGCCGUGAAGCGAGCCACCUGGGAAGUACGGCCGCAAGGCUGAAACUUAA
RNAcentral lists this ribosomal RNA (836 nucleotides) under uncultured archaeon. RNAcentral's name for it is "bacterial SSU rRNA". It matches the Rfam family "Archaeal small subunit ribosomal RNA", at positions 21 to 859 of the family's 1478-position model. The record is from RNAcentral.